UGAGGAAUAUUGGUCAAUGGGCGGGAGCCUGAACCAGCCAAGCCGCGUGAGGGAGGAAGGCCCUAUGGGUCGUAAACCUCUUUUGUCAGGGAACAAAAGCGAGUAUGUAUACUAGUCUGAGUGUACCUGAAGAAAAAGCAUCGGCUAACUCCGUGCCAGCAGCCGCGGCAAUACGGAGGAUGCGAGCGUUAUCCGGAUUUAUUGGGUUUAAAGGGUGCGUAGGCGGCGGUGCAAGUCAGCGGUAAAAGCCCGGGGCUCAACCCCGGCGAGCCGGUUGAAACUGCAGUGCUAGAGAAGGCGAGAGGUACGCGGAAUGCGCAGUGUAGCGGUGAAAUGCUUAGAUAUUGCGCAGAACUCCGAUUGCGAAGGCAGCGUACUGGCGCCUGACUGACGCUGAGGCACGAAAGCGUGGGGAUCGAACAGGAUUAGAUACC
This 434-nucleotide ribosomal RNA is filed under the name uncultured bacterium. Its description in RNAcentral is "bacterial SSU rRNA". It matches the Rfam family "Bacterial small subunit ribosomal RNA", at positions 355 to 786 of the family's 1533-position model. The record is from RNAcentral.